RNAcentral lists this ribosomal RNA (769 nucleotides) under uncultured Lactobacillus sp. RNAcentral describes it as "bacterial SSU rRNA". It matches the Rfam family "Bacterial small subunit ribosomal RNA", at positions 730 to 1502 of the family's 1533-position model. The record is from RNAcentral. Lineage: Bacteria; Bacillati; Bacillota; Bacilli; Lactobacillales; Lactobacillaceae.
UGGUCUGUAACUGACGCUGAGGCUCGAAAGCAUGGGUAGCGAACAGGAUUAGAUACCUGGUAGUCCAUGCCGUAAACGAUGAAUGCUAGGUGUUGGAGGGUUCCGCCUUUCAGUGCCGCAGCUAACGCAUUAAGCAUUCCGCUGGGGAGUACGACCGCAAGGUUGAAACUCAAAGGAAUUGACGGGGGCCCGCACAAGCGGUGGAGCAUGUGGUUUAAUUCGAAGCAACGCGAAGAACCUUACCAGGUCUUGACAUCUUUUGAUCACCUGAGAGAUCAGGUUUCCCCUUCGGGGGCAAAAUGACAGGUGGUGCAUGGUUGUCGUCAGCUCGUGUCGUGAGAUGUUGGGUUAAGUCCCGCAACGAGCGCAACCCUUAUGACUAGUUGCCAGCAUUUAGUUGGGCACUCUAGUAAGACUGCCGGUGACAAACCGGAGGAAGGUGGGGAUGACGUCAAAUCAUCAUGCCCCUUAUGACCUGGGCUACACACGUGCUACAAUGGAUGGUACAACGAGUUGCGAGACCGCGAGGUCAAGCUAAUCUCUUAAAGCCAUUCUCAGUUCGGACUGUAGGCUGCAACUCGCCUACACGAAGUCGGAAUCGCUAGUAAUCGCGGAUCAGCACGCCGCGGUGAAUACGUUCCCGGGCCUUGUACACACCGCCCGUCACACCAUGAGAGUUUGUAACACCCGAAGCCGGUGGCGUAACCUUUAGGAGCGAGCCGUCUAAGGUGGGACAAAUGAUUAGGGUGAAGUCGUAACAAGGUAACCA